GAUGAACGCUGACAGAAUGCUUAACACAUGCAAGUCGAUGGGGAAGUGGUGCUUGCACCAUGGUAACCAUGGCGGACGGGUGGGUAACGCGUAAGGAACUUACCUGCGGGACCGGGAUAACAGCAGGAAACUGCUGACAAGACCGGAUAAGGUCAUUAAGCUGCAUAGCUUAGUGAUGAAAGGAGACGCCUGCGGAGAGCCUUGCGUCCUAUUAGCUAGUUGGAGGGGUAACGGCCCACCAAGGCGAAGAUAGGUAGCCGGCCUGAGAGGGUGGACGGCCACAAGGGGACUGAGAUACGGCCCUUACUCCUACGGGAGGCAGCAGUGGGGAAUAUUGGACAAUGGGGGCAACCCUGAUCCAGCAAUUCUGUGUGCACGAAGACGGUUUUCGGAUUGUAAAGUGCUUUCAGCAGGGAAGAAGGAAGUGACGGUACCUGCAGAAGAAGCGACGGCUAAAUACGUG
This 463-nucleotide ribosomal RNA is filed under the name uncultured bacterium. RNAcentral's name for it is "partial 16S ribosomal RNA". It matches the Rfam family "Bacterial small subunit ribosomal RNA", at positions 28 to 507 of the family's 1533-position model. The record is from RNAcentral.